GACGGGAUAGUUCAGUUGGUUAGAACGGUAGAAUCAUACUCUACAUGUCGGGGGUUCAAAUCCCUCUCUCGUUA
RNAcentral lists this transfer RNA (74 nucleotides) under Telonemida sp. Its description in RNAcentral is "tRNA-Met". It matches the Rfam family "tRNA". From Rfam's summary of the family: Transfer RNA (tRNA) molecules are approximately 80 nucleotides in length. Their secondary structure includes four short double-helical elements and three loops (D, anti-codon, and T loops). The record is from RNAcentral. Lineage: Eukaryota; Telonemia; Telonemida.